RNAcentral lists this ribosomal RNA (254 nucleotides) under uncultured bacterium. RNAcentral's name for it is "partial 16S ribosomal RNA". It matches the Rfam family "Bacterial small subunit ribosomal RNA", at positions 524 to 776 of the family's 1533-position model. The record is from RNAcentral.
CACGUAGGGGGCAAGCGUUGUCCGGAUUUAUUGGGCGUAAAGAGCUCGUAGGCUGUUCGAUAAGUCGGGUGUGAAACCUCCAGGCUCAACCUGGAGACGCCACCCGAUACUGUCAUGACUAGAGUCCGGUAGGGGAGCGUGGAAUUCCUGGUGUAGCGGUGAAAUGCGCAGAUAUCAGGAGGAACACCGGUGGCGAAGGCGGGUCUCUGGGCAGUAACUGACGCUGAGGAGCGAAAGCGUGGGGAGCGAACAGG